This 763-nucleotide long non-coding RNA is filed under the name Salmo salar (Atlantic salmon). RNAcentral describes it as "lncRNA (ENSSSAG00000105597.1)". The record is from RNAcentral. Lineage: Eukaryota; Metazoa; Chordata; Actinopteri; Salmoniformes; Salmonidae.
UGCCAUUUGAAGAAGAGCAAAAACAAGCAGAAAUUACCCCAGCAGUUAUCCCCUUGGCUGCUUUAGAUUCAUUAACCGCAGUCGAUCUGCAAACACAUAGCCUAUUUGAAAGAUUAGUGGAAUCUGUGUGGGUAGCUGGACAGGUAGGAUGACUGACAGUGAGGGUGAACAGGUGGUCACGGGUCAGGUGACAGAGGAAUGGAUGAGACUGAGGCAGGAAUUCCUUUAACCAUAAAGUGGUAUAUUUACUGGGUAGUCUGUGCUGCAUAACAAAGGAAAUAGAAUAACGUGUAUCCAAUCAAAUCCAUCAUCACAAAGAUCUAAUCAUAACAAUCAUUCAUUAUUAACAUCAUUUAGGGAAUUCAACAAUCCAGUUCAUUACGUCAAUAGGAAUCAUCGGGCCGGAAUCAUUGACCAGUCACAUUACACAAAAUGUUUGAAGCGUGCGCUCCAAGCCGGGCUCUGCGAUAAUAACUUCAAACAACAACUGAUGGCCCACUCUCCCGAUCGCAACAGAUAGUUCAGAUGAAUGUUCAGAUGAUAGGGAACAGAGUCGGUGGAUUCAUGGACGCACAGAACUUCUGGAUUUGACAGAGUGAAGGAAGAGAAAGCAGCGCGAUCAGGCGAUGGUGAUUUCCUCCUUUUAUGGAGUGGAGAUCUGUCGGACAUUUCCACCUGACCUAAGACUUUCCGGCCUCACCACUGAGCGCCACAUCACUGUCUGUCUCAGUAGCCUACUCUCUGAAGCGAAGUUAUAAUGAGG